Molecule: long non-coding RNA, 15347 nt
Organism: Peromyscus californicus insignis
Lineage: Eukaryota; Metazoa; Chordata; Mammalia; Rodentia; Cricetidae
Exons: 8
Source: RefSeq, a predicted model, not a curated record
UGCGGCGCCCCUCCAGUUCUCUAGCAGAGCCCGGUUGGAUGUGAGCGUGCGUUGCACAUCGUUUCCCUGGAAGCGCAGUGAACCACCUUUCGGUUUUUCCUGUUGGGAGUGCCUUUGGGCAGUGAGCCUUAGGAUGAUGACUGGUCGAAUGCUCUGGUUUUUCUUCAAUUAAGCACUGGUCCAAAACAUCCCUCUCCUUUAUUUCAAAGGACAGGUGAGAGAGAGAAGGACAGGAGCAAGUGAACCAUGGAAAGAAAGUGGGGGAAUGGUCCUGGAUCCCAGCAACAAGGAAGGAAAUAGACCUCCCAGGGCCUGGAAGGAUGCCAGGCCCAUAGUAAGGACCCAGUAAACACUUGCUGAGGAAAGGGAUAGGAGACUUCUGUGGGCCCGCAACAGAACCAUCUCACUUCUCUAUGACCUCUCCCCAGAUGAUCUGAAUCUGAUGGCUCAAGAACUCACUAGACAACUGCUACCUUGGUACAACUUCCUGAGGAGUGAUUUUCUGCACAGGUGAUUGACAGGCCCAUUUGGAUUGACUCUUCAGAGAGAGGAAAAUGAACAAGAUUUAGAACUCUCAGCUCCUUCUCCAGCACCAUGUCUGCCUGCAUGCUGCCAUGCUUCUCGCCAUGACGAUAACGGACUAAACCUCUGAAACUGUAAGCUAGCCCCAAUUAAAUACUUUCCUUUAUAAGAGUUGCUGUAGUCGUGGUGUCUCUUCACAGCAACAGAAACCCAAAUUACCUCAGAACACAGGGAAGGGACUGCAGCAGCCACUGUUACUAAAGCAGUAAAUAUGUAAAUAUCUUGCUAUUGUAGUUAAUACUGUGAUCAUACCUGUGUCUACAGAUUGACUGGCAGCCUUCUUGUCAUGGUACCUACUUUGGUCCCAUAUAGUUUGGGACAUUGUUUUAGGUCUGGGUUUUAGUGCUGCAUAUCCCAGGUUCCAAGAUUCUUAUUAGUACUACCCACAAUAUCAUUGCAGUAGCUGUGGUGUCUACAGGUGAGGUCACCUUUGUCUGUUUUUUGUUUGUUUGUUUGUUUGUUUGUUUUUUGUUUUUUGAGACAGGAUUUCUCUGUGUAGUUUUGUCCUGGAUCUCACUCUGUAGACCAGGCUGGCCUCGAACUCACAGAGAUCUUCCUGCCUCUGCCUCCCGAGUGCUGGGAUUAAAGGCGUGCGCCACCGCCGCCGCCGCCGCCGCCGCUGCCGCCGCCGCCGCCGCUGCCGCCGCCACCACCACCACCCAGCUUGUCUGGUUAUUUUUAAUCUCAUCAUCCAUGUCUGUGUAUGGUGUUAACCUAUUCAGAGAUUUUCUGACCUAAGCAGGUGGAUAAAGGCUAAUGUCCUGCAUCUUUCCUGGGCAUGCAUUCCUGAAUAUCCUAAAUACUUCCUGGGCAUGCAUUGCUGAAUAUCCUAAAUACUGUCAUCAUCUGCCUGAUGAUUUUCUCCCUAGAACUGUAAAUGUCCUCAGGGCACAAGUUCCAGUGACUGACAGAGAAUGGGCAUUCCACCAAUUUGAAAGGAAUCACAUAGCUAGACAGAAGCCAACGGAUAUAGGUAAGCUUGGCUCUUCUGAUGUGCUAAGAAAACUACAUAUCACUUCCAGCUUGGUAUUUGUCCCGCCAUCCUGUGUGAAGAGAAAAGCCCUAAUUUUAGUUUUCCACUGUGAGGCAAGGCCUAGUGCUGAGACAAGCAGAAGACUAAAACUCAGUAAUUACCAUGUGGCUUCUAAUUAUGCAUUUACUCAUUCCUUUAUUUAAUUAAUGGAAUUACUUAAUUAAUUAAUUUUAUUCAUUCCAUUAGCCAAUCAUUCCAUUAAUACCCUGUUUUCCUUUGAGACCGAUGAUGUGCCUGGACCAGUCCAGCCACUGGGGAUACAUACCAUGAAGAAUGAGAUGGACAAGGGCCCACUUCUCGUGGGGUCUGGGAUGAUACUCACUAACCAAGCAUAGAGAACUUCAUCUCAGGAUCGAGUGGCACAUUGGCCAAAAAAUAAAUAAAUAAAUAAGAUAGUGUUUCUAGAGUAUGUGUGGAGGAUGAAGGGAAACGAGUCUUUGGAAUGAGUGGUCUGGAAAAAUCUCUGCAUGGAGGUGAUAACCAAAGCUGAAGCCUGAGUGACUGAAAAAAAAUACAGCGAGUUGGAAAUUUCCACACAGAGGAAAUGGCUGGUACAGAAGUCCUGAGGCCAGAAGAAGGCUUCUGUGCUUGAGGAGCAGAAGGCAGGGGGCUCUGCAAGAAGUGGAGGAAUGGGCCUACUGAUGUCUUUAUUCCUCUCCUCUGUGUUGGUGUUAUCAGAGACAUUUGCUCCUCUUCUUUUAUGGAAAUAUCCUCUUUCGGACUCUAUACCCCCUGAAAAUAAACCCCAAAUUUCCAAAAACUACAAAGGAAACUUUUUUUUUAAUGUUCUACUUAUUUAGAAACAUGAGCCAACUUUGUAACUACAAACUAAACCUAUCUAAUAAUCUCAAAGGUCAGCCAUCUAUUAUUUUUUCUAUGAAAAGCCAGAUAGUGUAAAUAUUUUUCAUUUUGCAGACCACAAGAUACCUGCUGAAAGUACUCCACUCUUCCUUGUGGAAGUAGUCAAAGGUAACUUGUGAAUGAAUGGAUUAUGGCUUGUCCCAAUAAAACUUUAUUUACAAAAACAGACAGCAAGUAGGAUUUGGCCCCUAGACUGGAGUUGGUCACUUAUAACCAACUUCUAAUGAUAAUUAUUAUUUUAAAAGAUUUUAUUUUUGUUAAUUUAGUACUUACCAGGGCCAAGAAAAACAAGGCCUUUGGGGAGUAUUCCUGUGAUCUGGAAUUGAGCGGAUGCACUGAACCAGGCAUUGCCAUGAGGGUGCCCCUGAAUGGAACUUCAGUGACUAUUUGUGAUACUAUUCUAUUGAGAUGUUUUUCAGACUGCGGUAUCAUUAUUGUUCUGUUUGUUAUUUUAAGACAGAGUCUCAAGAUGUAUUCUGCUCUGGCCUGGAACUCAUUGUGUAUCCCAUCUGACUUCAAACUUGCAGCCUUUUUCCUGUCUCUGCCUCCCAUGUUCUGUGGACCACCACAACCAGCUCAGUUAUUUAAAUUAUCACAUUUUUUUCUACUACCAAGCCAAAGCCAUUUUUUUUUUUUUACCCUUUGCAGUGGACUGGUAGCCAUCUACCAUCAUAAGUAGCUAUACCACGUACCAUGAAAGAGAGAGCAAACCUCAGAUGGAAUUAUGCAAAACAUGUAUAAGCCAGCAAGUGUAGGCAUGGGCAUGCAAGCUUUUCCUGAAAGUCUGCAAGAUCCUGUUUUUAACUCUUGUGAAGGUCAGUCUUGAUUGUCAGUUUGAUUGGCUCCGUAAACACCUAGGGAACUGCUGGAGAGAUGGCUUGGCAGCUAAAAGCAUUGGCUGUUCUUCCAGAGGACCCAACUCUAAUCUGAAAAACAUGGUAACGCACAACUGUCUGUUAACUCCAGUUCCAAGGGAUCUGGCGCCCUCUUCUGGCCUCCAUGAUCACUGCACACAGGUUGUGUAUAGACAUAUAUACAGACAAAAUAUCCAUACCUAUAACAUAAUAUAAACUUUUCAAAAAAAAUAUUCAAAAGAAGCAUCUAGGAAAAUAGUUAAACAUGCUGUGGGUGUUACCUGUUAAGCAUUCUCAAAGAGAACUAAAUAGGGGAGGCAUACCUGUCCUGAAUGGGAAUGCUACCAUUCCAUAGGCUGGGAGCCUGGAAUCAAAGGAAGAGGAGAAAUCCAGUGAGGAUGGGCAUUCUGUGUGUCUGUUUCCUGGCUGCCAAAUAUUGACUGCUCUGCUUUACCAUGUUUCAUACCAUAAUAGGUUGAAACCACAAGCCCAAAUAAAUCUUCUCCUAAGUUGUUCAUUUAGGUAUUUUCCACAAGUUGAUGUCUAAGUCACUUAGACUAGACAGCAGCUCAAGAAAAGUUCCUAUGAAGCAGAUUCCCAAUGAUUCCACAGUAGGGCUUAGCUUUUUCUGUCUGGAGUAGCAGCAAAGCCCUGCAGUGAGCCCAGGGCACCAUGAUGAAAGGGGUAAGGAUUCAUGCUCACUGACUUCCUGAGUCCACCACACAGGGCAAGUAGGUCUGCAUAAAAUGCAUGCCCAUUCCAAGGUUCUCAAAUGCCUUCUACUAGUGAAAAUAUAAGGCCAUGACUUAAUAAAAAGUUUCAUAGCUUAUAGCAGCAUUCUUGAAGUUUGCAUUCCUGAACAGAGCUUUUGCAUGUUGACAUUUUAGUGCUGUGCUAAAAGCAACCUACAUGUAUACAUUAGAGUGUGUGUUGAGAUAUUUUAAAUUACACAAAGUACAAUGCACUUCUCUUCUUUUGUAAUUAAUCCCAUUUUUUUUUUCAGUUUCUUGUUCUGGACCUCUUAAGUUGAGAGAUGUAGUAAAUUUUAUGACUUUAUUUUUAAUUUGGAUAUUGUGUCAAUAUAUUAUAAGUAAUUAUUAUAUUCCAAAGUCUAAAACAAUCCUUAACUGUUCUUCUUCUUACAACUGUAUUAUUAAAAAAAAAAAAUACCUCUACCUCAGUAAGUAGUUCCACCAAACUAAUUCUAUAUGACAGGUGAUGGUCUGUAACACAGGCAUGCCUAAGCCAAACACAGGAGAUGCACUGACCUCAUAAAAUCUUUCAAGCAUGAAAAUUUGGGAUGUGGCUUUCAUCCAAAUGUAGGACAUGUGAAAAUUAAAAAUAAAAAAAAAUAAAAAAAAUAAACUUCCUGUUUCAAACUCAGCAGGUGAAGGUGCUUGCUGCCAAGGCUGAUGAUCUGAGUUCAAUCCCUGGGACCCACAUGGUUAAAGGAGACAGCUGAUUCCUGGAGAAGCUACAAAGUGAUAGACCUGUACGGUAGUGAAAAUGUGGGAUCAUCGGUGCCUGUGUACUGUGUUUACCAUCAUUUGUCUUCCACUCAGCCAGUGGGGUCAUAUUUGUCUGGAAAAAAAAGAGCGAACCUUGCACCGGUUCAGCAGAAAGAAGAGUCCAAGGAAUCACAGGCUCUGUUGUAAACUAGACAGCUUUCUAAGAGAUUAGCAAGAUCCAGGAUGAAACGGUUGCCUCUAGAAGCUUGAACGCCAUCUCUGGAGUAUCCAGUCACAAUCAGAUAUGAGGAGGAAGCAGAAACAUGAAGGCAGAGGAAACGACUAGAAUAAUAAACACUGGAAACGGCGAGUAUUAAAGAACCGGAGCAACUGGAAAUGUCCCUGACCCCUGCUGGGAGUGGGACAGUAGAGCCGGCAUGGAGAUGGGCAGUUACAGUAGGGUUAGCCUAGGUCUUCCCUGUCUUCAAGCAAUUCUAUUCCUAGGAUCAGACACAGAAUUGCAUACACAGGCUUUGUCAAGGACAUUCAUGAGUUAUUUCUACUGACUAUUCCUAGCAGCCCAAAGGGGAGACCCAGGGCCCAAGAGUGGAAUGGAUAAAGAAAGGCAAGUAUAUUCACACAGUGGCAUACUACUCAGGAUUCAAGGUUUUCUUUGUGAAGACCACAUAGCAUUUUCAGCCUCGCACACCAUAUGUCUCCACUUGAGCUGCUCAGUUCUGUCAGUGUUGGGCAAGAGCAGCUACAGACAGACAUAUACAGAAAUACAUGGGCAUAGAUCUUUCAGGAAAACUUUUCAAAGCAGAUGGCAUACAUGGUGUGUUCCCUUUUUUGAAAAGUCUUUAAGGUGCAGGGUUAUAAUGUAUGUGAAUAUGAAAAGAUUUAUAGUUGUUUAAAGCAGAUCUUUAAAGCUGAGCAUGGUGGUAUACAGCUACAGUCUGAGCCUUUGGGAAGCUCAGGUAAGAAGGUUGAGAGUUUGAGGCCAGCCUAGGCUAUGGACUGAGCUCCAGGCUAGUUCUAGUUCAUAGCUAUUCUAGGCUGUAGGGCAAGCCCUGUCUCAAAAAAUUCAAACAAGCCAAAAACAGUUCAUAACAAGUUUUUUAAAUAAAUAAGGACUGAGAAUUGGCCUGAGAGAUUACUAUGGUUUAAUGACUAGUCUCAAAUCAAAGAUAACAUCAUACUGGAGCUGAGCCUCCUUCUGGUAAGAAAAUUCGUAACUAGUGAGUAGUUCCUGUGUGCAAGGCACUCCCAAUACCUACUCCUCAUAAGAACCAAGAGAAGUAAUUGUUAUAUGCAUUUUUAUAGAUUAGAAGUGGAGGCCAAGAGAAGUGAACUUAGCCAGGAUCACUAGUCAGCAGGAACAGUGCUACUGUUUGAGCCCAGAUCAGUCUGAUAUUGACCCGAUUCUCAAGCUGCCUCUGCAGGCUUUAAAUGCAAACAUGGGAUCUUAUAUCAACGGUAUAAAAAUAAACCAUAAGCUCCACCCCAAGAAAUACUAUCCAUCUAUCACUGGGUUCUCCUGCUAGCAGCCAAAUCUGCCUAGGCUCUGCCUGCUGCCUAUGGUAAACACUGGCACAGCUCGGACACAGGCUAGUCACUGACUUUACUCUUUGAAGCAAGCAUGGGAAGGGUAUGGAGAGAGCAAAAUAGAACAGGAUCCCGAGGAAUGCCAUUUCCACAGUUGGUCAGAGCAGAAAGGCAGGUAUGCUGAAGUGGAGGAGCCUGUCAUAUGAGGCCAGUCCAGAAGGGGCCCCCAAACACACCCCUUUGGGAGUCACCUGCCAUCCAGUAACAUUACCUCUUGGACUCACUCCGUCACUUCCCCUUCUUGCUCCCAACACCUCUCUUCUUAUAAGAUAGCAGUAUCUUCCUCAUUGAAGGGGACCCCCAAACAGUGGAGCUUCCUCCUGGACUCUGGAUGAAAAAAACAAACACACCCAAACACCUGUUUUCACAGAGAGAGUCUUUAUUAAGCGGGAAAGAAAAGUUAAAGUGACUGCUUUCUGACUCAGCCGAAAUGACGUUGCAGGUGUAAUGUUUAAGAAGAGGAGAAGGGGAGGUCUGUGUUAGAAUGAGCUAGGAUGUGGUAGUAAAGGAGAUAGGGGGUGAGGGAGAAGGGGACAAGAGAAAGGGGGAAAGGGUAUUUGUCCCAGAGGAACAAAGGACUGCCUCUGGACAGAGGGGAGGCAGACGUGGCACAUAGGCAAAUGGAGGCUUAUAAAGGUAAAGAGGGAAACCUGUGUUACAACAAGAUUUUUUUUUUUAUUUUAAUUGGGAAUGUUAAUUAAGUGAACCAAAAGGGGGUUUUGAUUGCUGGACUUUGGCAGUCAGCCUCAGAAGGAGGUAGUGGCCAAAUAAGGGAAUAGCUAGCUUUAGGAAUGUAAUCUAAUAGGUUUUUUUUUUUUUUUUUUUUUAGUGUUCUGCUUGCAUGUAUGCCUGCGGGCCAGAAGAGGGCACCAGAUCUCAUUAUAGAUGGUUGUGAGCUACCAUGUGGUUGCUGGGAAUUGAACUCAGGACCUCUGGAAGAGGACCCAGUGCUCUUAACCUCUGAGCCAUCUCUCCAGCUGUAAUCCAAUAGUUUUUAGCAAGGGAGAGGGAAUGGGGGAGAAGGGCAAGGCCUGCCAAAGCCACAUGCUUGUGUGGGCUCGUGUCCCUUUGCCCAUGUAAUUCAGAGAACUGCAUAGGUUGAAGGUCUGCCUUGUUAGGUUUGAGGACUGUUGUGUGACAAAAUUUUUCCUGGGGAGACACCACACACACACACACACACACACACACACACACACACACACACACACACACCUGCUCACCCCAGAUAGAGAACCCAUGACAGAUACUACCAAAGUCCAACUUGGUGAACCAAUGAGUUUUACUGGGGUCACUUAGAGGAGUAUGGGUGAGGGGUUACUUACAGGAGCAGAAAUGACUCAGGCAUCUGCAUCAACAAAGGCCACCCCAGCUUUAGUGACAGCUCACAAAACUGGAAACCUGGAGCACACUGCACAGCUUGCAGGCAGCUCAGUAUGUUGGAGAGUGUCCUUUCCAAGUGAGUAUUCAGCUUGGCUGCUCUCUGCUAAUUCCAGGCAGCUGUUCUGGUUUCAGACUCUUUUACACAGCUUAGCUUGGCAGAGAGUGACUCCCAGCAGCUUGACUUGCUUACUCUGGGAGGGCGGGGCCUAGUGAAUCUGGUCAGUUUCAGGGACUUCCUGAAGCUAUUUUGAGUAGUUUGCCUUCCCUACAGGAGGAAAUGUUUCAAGCUUGGAGGAAACUGUUACACAACAGGGCAAAUUUCAGUGAGUUAUCAGUGGUUUAAAACCAGGAGAUUUGUUCAUCAUAGUGGUGCAUGCCUUUAACCCCAGCACUAGGGAGGCAGAGGCAGGAGAAUCUCUGAGUUCUAGGUCAGCCUGGUCUGCAGAACAAGUUCCAGAACAGCAAGGGCUGCACAGAGAAACCCAGUCUCAACCCCUCUCCCCUGAAACAGGAGAUUUACAUUAAUACAUGUAUACUACUAAGUGAAAAAAGCUAGUCUGAAAGACUACAUGUUAUGUGACUCAAACUACACCUGAUUUUCUCAAUCCUAUGGUGGUACAAAGUGGUAGAUAUUCAGUAGAUCUCUAUUUCUAAUUCUGAUCUUUUCCUAGACUGGUAAGUUAUGGUUUAACACUUCUGAUACUUGGCAGUAGCAGCAUGCCAUGUUGGUUGUGUGAUUCUAAGAGUGAACAAGCUAUACUCAGUGUUGGGGAGAUGGCUCUACUGGUAAAGUCUUCGCUGUGUAACAUGACGACAUGAGUUCCACUCCCCCAAGUCCCUUGUUAAAAGCUGGGCACGUGUGUAAUCCAAGAAUUAGGAGACAGGAGGAUCCCUCAAACUUAUCCAGCUAGAUUCAAUGAAAGAUCCUGUCUCAGAAGAGAAGACAGAGAGUCAACACUGACCUGAGACCUCUGUAUGUGCAACUGUAUACACAGUCACACACCCACAUACAACUACACAAACAGCUACAGACACCACACACACAUGGGGGUGGGGGACUGGAAAAUAUUAAUGCUAAGCUAGGGAAUAUGGAAGCUUGGAUUAUUAAAUAAACUUUCUAAUUACAAUGAUUUUAACUUAUGACAGAUUUGCUGCAUCAUAAGUUAAGGUGUGUCUGUAGAUAACACUGUGGAGAGGCAAAAAUAUACAACAGGCAAGAUAUCAGGGCAGUCAAGUAUUUGUAGCUGGUAGAGGCUACAGAGAGAAUAGGUAGAAUCCAAUGCAGUGAAACCUUCUAUAUGACAUUGUUAUAGGUAUAUGUUCUCCCACAUUUUUAAAAGUCUUCUAAAACACAAUCCAAAGAAUAAAACCAAAUGUGAACCAUGGACUUCCACUAGUACCACACUAACUUUUCAAUAACAGGAAACUCUGGGGCAGAGAAGGAAUAUCUAAGAACUUCCUUAUUUAUUUUUAAUUUUUCUGGAAUCCUAAAGCUAUUCUUUAAAGUAGUCAUAGCUGUAUAUAUGUAUAUGCUUAUACAUGCUAAUUAUAUAUAUAUAUGUAUAAAUAUAUAAUUUGAAUUCACCAAAAACAAACAAACCAAAACUUGAUCUCUGGUUUCAUGGGAAAAGUCUAACUGUGGCUUUGGGUUCAUGUUCCCAGAUGAUCUGGAUUUAACAUACUCACUUUAUCCCUCUGGAAGUGUAUCUUUUCCUACGGGGCUCCCUCCAGUAGAACAGCCCUGUUUUGGCAUUGCCCACGUGACCCAGUGUUACUCUCCAGUGUCUCCAUCUAGCCUUUGGAGUUUGGGAUCCCGGGGGUAAAGUAUGUAAUUCACUGUGGUGGUCUUCAAGGGAUCUAGCGGCUCUCAAUGUUCCUUAGCGAUCUCCCUGCUCCUGGGGUGUCACUGGGGCCUGAGCAUGGGCAGAGCUGUGGGACCCUGCAGGUCACAUCUGGACUUCCUGGAUAUGAUUUAUUUCAGUAAUGUGGUCCGUGGGUGACAUACCUGUACAGAUUAGUCAAAUGCCGUCCUCUAACAGAGAUGGAAAACUGAGGCUCAGAAAGCAAGCAAAGGAGGUAGCUGUGAGGUGGAGCUUGUGCUGUUUCUUACCCUUCUGAAGUUCUACCAGACACCUGACGUUCCUUUAUUUCUAGUCCUUAGUCCAGAGAAUUCCCAUUUCCAAUGCAAUGACCGUGUGAAAGAGGUUCCUGUUAUGGAACACCCUUUUCUUUUUUUCUUUUCUUUUUUUUUAUUUAAUGUGCAUUGUUUUGACUGCAUGCAUUUCUGUGUGAGGGUGUUGGAUCCCCUGGAACUAGAGUUACAGACAGUUGUGAGCUGCCACGUGGUUGCUGGGAACUGAACCCAGGUCCUCUGAAGAGCAGCCAGUUCUCUUAAUCACUGAGCCAUCUCUCCAGCCCCAGAACACCCCUUUUCAUCUGCUCAGGACUACCUGUCCUUCUACCCUGCUUCUCCAAGAGGCCAUUGAUUCUCAGUCAAGGCCACGAGUUCUAAUUAAAAGGAAGGGCUAAUGAGUAGCAUUAGUCCAUGGAUGCCAUUGCAUAAAAUUCCACUUUCAGAGUGCUCAGCCUUGCUAUGGCUGUGAGGCACUCCUUCCUGUUCUGAAAGGCCAUGGAGGGCUCUUGCCGUGGAGCCAGUCUCAGUGCUUAGCCUGUGGUGCGGAGCAUCCAGUCUGUCAGAGGUGUCACCCCCUCUAAGCUCUCUGAUCCCAACUCACCAGCAGCCCUCUCCUCUUCAGUUUCUCCUGUCAGAUCAGGCCCCUAGGGCAAGGUGCUCCUCCCACUUCCGGCUGCUCCUAAACUCUGACUAGGAUGUCUUCUAUCAUCUCAGUCCCUUUACUUUUCAAUUGGUUAUUUUUUGAGAAUGUCAUGCAUGAGUACCAUAUUUACAUCAUUUCUUCUCUUCCUCUCCUCCCUCUAACUCCUCCCAUGUCCCCUCCACCACUUCUCAAUUCAUGGACUCAUGUAGGUAUGUGUAUACGUAUAUACGUGUGUGUGCAUGUAUUGCAUGCAUGCAUGUAUUUGGAGCUGACUGAAUGGGAUUAAAUAACUAUCAGGUAGCUCACCCCAGAGAAGACUGGCUCUCCCUCUCCCAACAGCCAUUAAUUACCUUCUUCAUGAGACUUCUCCCACCCACAGUGGCAUGUCAACUGAUAAGGUCAUUAUUCAUGUCUGGUUCAAGUAACCGUAUGGUUGCAGUUUCAUGGUGGAGCUUUCCUGUCCAUUUCUAGGAGACAUUCUUAGAGCACACAAGGGAGUAUACUCCCGGAACCUUAGGUGGAGGACUUACGUUGCAGAUGGACAAUUGGGGCUGGGCACUCCACAGCCAGUUCUCUGUAUUCUGACCAGGUGUGGCUUUCUGGAAUGGUUUCCAUCUGCUGCAAAAAGAAGCUUCCUUGACGAGGGGUGAGAGCUGUACUCUUGUGUGGGUAUAAGGCUAUGUAUAUAGAAUGCAGUUAGGGAUUAUGCUGGUUUAGGGAAGUGGCAGUACUUGGUUCUCCUCUAAGCUGAACUGUGCCACAGAGCCCUCAGCAUCCCACAAAGGUUUAUAAUCAGUCAUAUCCAAACGCUGCAGGGAGCUGGCCUUCAUCUUGGUAGGGAAAAAAAUGCUAAGACAGGCAGGCAUAGUGCCAGGCCACACAGGAGGGAGCAGCAAAAGCUACCCCAGAAUUAGGUUGACAAUUCAAAGGAGCUAUCACUUGACCCCAGUCUUGCAUAUCAACUACCUCCUUGUUGGGAGGGGCAUGUUCUCCAUGGAGGGCACAGCAUGGCACAGGCAGAGUAUGACAGAACACUGUGUGUUCGCGGGAAGACUGCCGGCUUAAGGGUGCUGGCGUGCAGCUAUGCCCUGCACAGAGAGACAUUUUCUAACUGAGAAAGAACAAGCUCAUGCAGCUGCUCGGUGGAAGGCAUCAGGAAAGGGGGAGGGCAGCCUAGUAACCCAAUCCUCUUAGCAGAUCAGCCAGCUCUGUGCCACCUCCACUUCUCUGUCCCCAAGUCAGUAGCAACUCAGCAGUCAGGUCAUGUGAAACACACCUGCCAUUUGUCCUGUGCUUGGCUCAUGCUGGCAGUCGUGAGAUCACAUGGGUGCAAGUGUUUGCUUGUCACCUGCUCUUACUGAUGCUUGAUUAGGAUGGGCUGUCUGACUUCUGAGUCUUAUAUACACUCCCAUGUGGCUUGGGCUCUUAUGAUCAUUCUGAGUUAGUGGCAGGGUUGGAAAGACUUUAGAGCAGGCUUUGGGGUGUUGUUUAUUUCUGUUUUAUUUUUAACCAAGGCCCAUGGCCUGAGGAAUCUGUGAGCAUCUCAAAAACUAUGUACAAACUCUUGCUUCUAUGGGUGUUUUCUGAGGAAAAGGCUCCCUAGCUUUCCUCCAAUCCCCCCAAGUACAUAUAACCCUUUAAAUUAGAGAAAUUGCCAAAACAGUUCUCUCCCACAAUGAGACACGGUAUCUUUGGCCAAAGAGCACCAUGCAGUGGGCAGCUGUCAACCUGUGUGAGCAGGCCAAGACUCACUUAGAAACAGACAAGACCUACUGUGGGCUACAGGAUAGGAUGGAACCAAGCCUUGAUCCUUGACAGAACAGAAAUAUUUAGUUUAUCCAUUAUGAUAAGGAAUCUAAUGGGCUUUUCUCAAGCAUUCCGUGUGUGUGUGUGUGUGUGUGUUGAUUUUAUUACCCCUUUUAUUUACCAAUGAUUUUUCUCUAGUCCUAGAGUCUGGAAAUGAAAUACUAAGAAACUAGGGUAACCUGAGGAGUUGUUAUAAAGUGAAAUCAAUAAAUCACUCAUAGUGCCUCUGGUGGAGAUUAGAUGCAUAUUGUGCCAUUCCUAUCAAAGUAAAGCUAACCCCAGGAUCUCAAGAAGGAAGAACAUGUUUUCCACAGAAGCCAUGAUUAUGCCAAAUAAAGCACAGAUUGGGAUCUUUAAAAGGAAACUAAAACUAUGCCUAACAUUACUGAAUAGGCUACAUGUAAGUCCCUCAAUAAUAAAACACACUUUAUGACCAUUUCAGACAUUCAUUCAUUCUAAAGAGGCCAUCAGGCAAGAUCAGGACCCCGGCCACCCAUCUUAGAAGGAAACUGGAGUCCCAGGCAACCUUAACACAAGGCAGAGGAGAAGAGACUGAGGUCCAGCAGUUCCCAAAUGUGGAAACUGAAGUCCAUGGAAAAGGCUGUCAUGUGAUUGGAAUGUUGGGGAGAAGAGGGUCUCAUGAGGCUCUCUUGAGGGCCCUUAUAGUCCCAUGAGCUCCCUCGAUACAUUCACACAAAGGAAUGCUACUCUAGCCAAGCUUGGACAGGUCUCCUACUGGUCAUCAUACCCACUCCUUCAAGAAAACAAGUGGUCAGGUCUCACCUGAAGGGAACAGCUACGUGAUCUGAUCAACAGUUUUCAUCCUUUGAUGGAUAUACAAUUUGAUGACAUUGUGUGUGAUGUCGACCUAAGUUAGGAAGGAAGUGGGUCAGUACAGGACUGCUUAUGAAGGGUCCCCAGCCUUUCUUUCUGGCUCUGUGCUUCUGGAUUGUGUAAGGUAAGCAGGCUUGCUCCACCACAUGCUCCCAGCCAUGACAGUUUAGUUUUGCUUCAAGAUCCACAGGAAUGGAGCCAGCCAGCCAUGGACUGAGAUGUGAACCCAAAGAAAUCCUCCUUCCCUUGUUUUCUCAGGUACUUUGUCACAGUGACAGAAAAUUGACCAAGAGGAAACAUAAAUCCUUGAGGAGCACACGCCAGCUAUACGGAGCAUGAGAUAAUAAGGAAGCGCUGGGCCUCAUGGGAUUAUAGAUGGAGGCAAACUGUAGCAGAUGCUCUACCUCCAGACUCCUAGUUCAUCCAGCUGCAGACAACACACGUCCUUGCCUGCAGUUUGCUCUACUAAUAGAGCCAACUCUGCCUUGCAGGCUGGGAAAGAAGAGGAGUGCAUUUCCUCCUAAAUGGCUGUCAACCGCGGGUGGAGGGCUACGUCAACGCCCAGGUUCUCCAUGCUUUGGGUAGGGAACUCUGAGCUGAGUGUCCACCUUCUUUCUCAGAAUCCUCCUUGCCUGUCUUCCAGAUGCCCACAUGAUGAGGUACUCAGUCACACUCCUUGACAAAGCUCUACUCCUUGAUCUUUCUCUCUGCUAGUCCCUCGCCAGCACUUCCUCAGAUGGUUUGCUAAUGACCUCAGGAAUCAAGCUCAUAGAAACACUGGACAAUCACAGGUUCCUAAUCCCUCCAAGGGUAGUGGAUGAGAAAGAAUCUCUGGCGAGAGUGAAACAUGGAUGGAGCUCGGGGGAGCCUGAAUUUAUACAUGCCUGUGGGGUUUUAUGCUGGCCCCCUGGUAAGAGGCAACAUGAGCAAUUAUCACUACAAGGAGGAUGACACUGUGACUCAGAUCAUGGCCCUGAAACCAGUGUGCAAGUCACUCAACAGUAUCAGAGAAUGUUAGUGUCAAUCUACAUGUUCGAAAUUAAACAGACAAAGCUGUAGUAAAGAUGACUGGAAGUGCUCCUGACAAACACCUAGUUCUUAACUGACUGCUUCCUGCUUCUUGUAUCCAAAAGCUAAAUAAACUUUUUCUUUGUCUCCAGCCUUUUCCAGGAUAAGUCAGCUCAGCCAAGGUACCAGGGCUCCAUGUGUAGAAUCCAACUUCAGGCCUAUAGAACUAGCAUAUAGAACAUAGCAAUGUUCUAGCCUCUGGAAGAUCCCUUCUCUCAGUUAUCCAAGGCCUCAAGAUUCAGAUAUUGGCCACUCAUUGCGGCUGGGAGCCACAUCAAAAACUCCUCACUGCCUUCAGUAUAGUCAACAGCAAGCUCAGGGGAGCUAAUUAGUUAAACAGCAUCAGAUGAAAGGGCUAGGGUACAUCAUCUACCAGAUCUGAUUUAACACAGCUCUGAAUACAUUUCUAAGAGUAAGCUGAAAAGUCAUUAAACUUGAUGUACAUCUUGUCUUCCCUUCUCCCUCCUUCCGUUAUGAGAAUCAGCUUAGUCCGCAUCUUACAAAUGGUCAGUGCAUCAGAAGGUUGGUUUUUUUAAAAAAAAUGACUAAAUGAAAAAAAUAGGACUUGGUAUGUAACCCCACUGAUAGGGUUACAAAUCAAGCAUGCACAAAUCCAUGGGUUCAACCCUCAUCACUGCAUAAGUAGGGUGUGGUGGCACAGGUCUCUACUUCCAGCCAUCAAGAGGUGGAAGCAGUGGGAUCAGAAGUUCAAGGUCAUCCUUGGCUACAUAGCAAGUUUGAGGCAAACCUAGGAUAUAUGAUAACCUAUUCGGAGAGUGGAGGGAGGGAGGGGCAGAGGGCACUAUUAGGUGGUGUGUCCAUGUAGUGGGUAGCCAUUCCAGCUUUGAUCUGGAAGUUCCAACCCCCAUUGAGACUUCGGCAACUGUCACGCCUACAAGGCGGGGCCAAGGGAGGCGCCGGGGGACCCGAGAUCUGGAUCGGCGGGUGCGCUCUCUGUUGCAGGACCCUGGACUGGAGAGGUGGACCGAGCAGAGCUCCAGAGAACACCGCUGGACUGUGAUACACCUUCCCCAGACUCCACGACCUACCUAUUCCUUAAUUUGUAAGUUACGCCAUUAAAUAAAUCUCCUUUUAACUA